RNAcentral lists this ribosomal RNA (347 nucleotides) under Leptolyngbya sp. KUAC 3105. RNAcentral's name for it is "bacterial SSU rRNA". It matches the Rfam family "Bacterial small subunit ribosomal RNA", at positions 389 to 751 of the family's 1533-position model. Lineage: Bacteria; Bacillati; Cyanobacteriota; Cyanophyceae; Leptolyngbyales; Leptolyngbyaceae. The record is from RNAcentral.
GAGCAACGCCGCGUGAGGGAGGAAGGCCCUAGGGUUGUAAACCUCUUUUCUCUGGGAAGAAGAUCUGACGGUACCAGAGGAAUAAGCCUCGGCUAACUCCGUGCCAGCAGCCGCGGUAAGACGGAGGAGGCAAGCGUUAUCCGGAAUUAUUGGGCGUAAAGCGUCCGCAGGCGGCUUAUUAAGUCUGUUGUUAAAGCCCACAGCUCAACUGUGGAUCGGCAAUGGAAACUGGUGAGCUUGAGUGUGGUAGGGGUAGAGGGAAUUCCCGGUGUAGCGGUGAAAUGCGUAGUUAUCGGGAAGAACACCAGUGGCGAAGGCGCUCUACUGGGCCACAACUGACGCUGAGG